GCAGGGGACACCAAUUUCCUGGGGCAGAAUCCCCACUGUCCUGGCUGUUUUUCCAUGCUGGGAGGAAGCGGCUGUUUUUCUGGCAAAGCCAGAGCAUGGUGGCCCGAGGAGGGAGGAAGGGGCCCCUUGGGUGCUCUUUGGGAGCUCUCACCAUGUGCUGUGGCUCCGUUCCCAGUCUGAGCUCUCAUUUCCUAUCGGAAACGAUUGCAUCCCCCUUCCUUUCAACAGGGGAGCAAGCCUCCCAGCUCGUGAUUGUGGGUGGACUGCCAUCAGCGGGAACAGGCACAGAGUGUCAAAGCGUCUGGGAAGGAGAGAGAGCCCUGAAAAACACAGAAAGGUAGCAAACGAGGUUCCCUAGGUCUGACAGGAUUUAGGCUGUGUCAUUUCAUUCCCAUUUGUCCUAUAAGAAAAGCACCAGCCAGGCCAAUGGUCUCUUCCUCUGAUCACUGACGCUCACUGCGGGCACACAAGGCAGAGUCAUUUAUUUUUGCAGCCUCUCUUCCUUCAUUUGGCAAAGCUGCCUCAUUGAGCAAGAGGGGCCUAACAGGACUUCCGCAAACAAACUUCCUCUGCGGACCAAAGGGCAGCAAGCACUGCAGCCCUUGUACUCCACCUAAACUUCCCAAGGGACCAGGAGCAGCAGCACAAGCCAGGCUAAGUGAGGUAAUGGCAACCACAGUGACAGAAUCUGGUGGCGUGCGGAUCAUCACAGAGGUCAUCCCCAACACAGACCCACGGGCAGCCCAGCUGGUCUCCGGCUCCAUCCAGCCCACCGUGUCUUCUUUCCAAGUCAGCGGCUUCAGGAGAGCACAGCCCAAAGUGCUGGGGACCAUUCACAUCGUCACCGGCAUCAUCCACUUGUGCUUUGGUGUCAUCCUGACCUGUGCAGAGAACAACAGUGCCCUCUCCCUUCCUGUGGCCAGCGGAGUCUUCUUUUGGCUUGGGGUCCUGCUCCUGGUUUCAGGCUCACUCCUGGUGGAAAGUGAGAAAAGAGAGAACAUCCUGCUGGUGAAGGUGUGUUGCGUGGCCAACGCCGCCGUCAUCCUCAGCACGCUGGUGGCCAUGCUCAUACACACGGUGGCCAUCACCCACAGCAUCCCUGGCUGCAGCAGCAGCGCCAGCAUGCCGCUCCCGGUGAGGCAGGAGUGGUGCUUCAGUGCUGAGACCAAGGCCCUGAGCAACGGCUUCGACUGCAUCUUUGUCCUCUUCAGCCUGCUGGAGUUUUGCACAGCCGUGGCGGCCCUGGCCUUCGGCUGGACUGCCAUCAAGCAGUACAGUUACACACGCAUGGUGCUGUAGUGAAGCCCACACUAUCCCUGCUGCUCCCCAGAGCCGGACCACGCCCAGCCCUAAGCAGCAGCACCACGCACUCCUACAAAAUCCUAAAAACGAAUCCAAAAAUCCCAAUAAACUGCCUCUCCCCCAGCCGAGCCUUCGCGUU
Molecule: long non-coding RNA, 1441 nt
Filed under: Chrysolophus pictus (golden pheasant)
Lineage: Eukaryota; Metazoa; Chordata; Aves; Galliformes; Phasianidae
Description: lncRNA (ENSCPIG00010006567.1)
Source: RNAcentral